AAAGGUGGCUAGCGUUCCUGGUCCUGACUUGGUUGUGUCGAUCUCUCUGCAGAGUUUCCCUACAUAUACCCUGGUGGUUCAGGCUGCUGACCUUCAAGGUGAGGGGUUAAGCACAACAGCGACAGCUGUGAUCACAGUCACGGACACCAACGAUAACCCUCCGGUCUUCAAUCCCACCACGUACAAGGGUCAGGUGCCUGAGAACGAGGCUAACGUCGUAAUCACCACACUGAAAGUGACUGAUGCUGAUGCCCCCAGUACCCCAGCAUGGGAGGCUGUAUA
This 282-nucleotide small RNA is filed under the name Pongo abelii (Sumatran orangutan). RNAcentral's name for it is "retained intron". The record is from RNAcentral. Lineage: Eukaryota; Metazoa; Chordata; Mammalia; Primates; Hominidae.